ACUCUUGAGUUAAUCUAAAGGCAAUAGGGAAAAAAACCUGAAAGGAAAACCAAAGAUGCAGUGGAAGAAGAGAUCGCGUGAGUCAACGGCUCUAAAGUAAUUGGAUAAGCCUUUCAUGUCUUCCAAAUGUGAGUUGCACAUUCUAAUAAAAAUUUGACACUAAGUUGCUCCAAGCUUCUGGAUUCGAUAAGCAAUGCAUUUAGCAAAAUA
RNAcentral lists this unclassified non-coding RNA (210 nucleotides) under Hevea brasiliensis (rubber tree). The record is from RNAcentral. Lineage: Eukaryota; Viridiplantae; Streptophyta; Magnoliopsida; Malpighiales; Euphorbiaceae.